This 21-nucleotide small nuclear RNA is filed under the name Arabidopsis thaliana (thale cress). Its description in RNAcentral is "snRNA_17208". The record is from RNAcentral. Lineage: Eukaryota; Viridiplantae; Streptophyta; Magnoliopsida; Brassicales; Brassicaceae.
CUUGUGGCAGCCAAGCGUUCA